This 1100-nucleotide ribosomal RNA is filed under the name Oceanobacillus profundus. RNAcentral's name for it is "bacterial SSU rRNA". It matches the Rfam family "Bacterial small subunit ribosomal RNA", at positions 252 to 1343 of the family's 1533-position model. The record is from RNAcentral. Lineage: Bacteria; Bacillati; Bacillota; Bacilli; Caryophanales; Bacillaceae.
GGGAGGUAAUGGUUCACCAAGGGGGACGAUGCGUAGCCGACCUGAGAGGGUGAUCGGCCACACUGGGACUGAGACACGGCCCAGAUUCCUACGGGAGGCAGCAGUAGGGAUCUUCCGCAAUGGACGAAAGUCUGACGGAGCAACGCCGCGUGAGUGAUGAAGGUUUUCGGAUCGUAAAACUCUGUUGUUAGGGAAGAACACGUACGAGAGUAACUGCUCGUACCUUGACGGUACCUAACCAGAAAGCCACGGCUAACUACGUGCCAGCAGCCGCGGUAAUACGUAGGUGGCAAGCGUUGUCCGGAAUUAUUGGGCGUAAAGCGCGCGCAGGUGGUUCCUUAAGUCUGAUGUGAAAGCCCCCGGCUCAACCGGGGAGGGUCAUUGGAAACUGGGGAACUUGAGUGCAGGAGAGGAAAGUGGAAUUCCACGUGUAGCGGUGAAAUGCGUAGAUAUGUGGAGGAACACCAGUGGCGAAGGCGACUUUCUGGCCUGUAACUGACACUGAGGCGCGAAAGCGUGGGGAGCAAACAGGAUUAGAUACCCUGGUAGUCCACGCCGUAAACGAUGAGUGCUAAGUGUUGGGGGGUUUCCGCCCCUCAGUGCUGCAGCUAACGCAUUAAGCACUCCGCCUGGGGAGUACGGCCGCAAGGCUGAAACUCAAAGGAAUUGACGGGGGCCCGCACAAGCGGUGGAGCAUGUGGUUUAAUUCGAAGCAACGCGAAGAACCUUACCAGGUCUUGACAUCCCAUUGCCCGGUCUAGAGAUAGACUUUUCCCUUCGGGGACAAUGGUGACAGGUGGUGCAUGGUUGUCGUCAGCUCGUGUCGUGAGAUGUUGGGUUAAGUCCCGCAACGAGCGCAACCCUUGAUCUUAGUUGCCAGCAUUCAGUUGGGCACUCUAAGGUGACUGCCGGUGACAAACCGGAGGAAGGUGGGGAUGACGUCAAAUCAUCAUGCCCCUUAUGACCUGGGCUACACACGUGCUACAAUGGACGAUACAAAGGGCAGCAAGACCGCGAGGUGGAGCCAAUCCCAUAAAAUCGUUCUCAGUUCGGAUUGUAGGCUGCAACUCGCCUACAUGAAGCUGGAAUCGCUAGUAAUC